Long non-coding RNA from Poecilia latipinna (sailfin molly), 3637 nucleotides. RefSeq lists it as uncharacterized. Lineage: Eukaryota; Metazoa; Chordata; Actinopteri; Cyprinodontiformes; Poeciliidae. The record is from RefSeq and is a predicted model, not a curated record. The transcript has 3 exons.
UUUUUUAAUACAGCCCCUUUUACUCUAACACCACUGAAUAAAAGUCACCUUUUGUACACAAUGUGACGAUGAAGGCAAAAGCAGAAUUGGGUUAAUAACUUGACCCUUAUUUUAAAGAGUGAAAGGAAAAGGUAGGACACUAUUGCUCGUCUAGCGUGCUGACAGACAAAUAAGAGUAUUGAUCAAAAAGGCAGUCAAUGAUAAAACUCUGAAGAAGAUUCAGAGAUCCACAGAAUCUGUCAGAAGAGUCAUCCUGAUCAAAGCGUCCUGACUGUAAAACAUGGUGGUAGUGGCAUCAUGCUGUGGGGAGGCUGUUCUUCCUUAGGGACAGUGAGAGCUGAAGGGGAAACAAAUGGAGUCGAGCACAAAAUCGUCUGUGCAGACUCGACACUGUGGCUAAUAUUCACCUUCCAGCAGCACAAAUUUCUUAAAUACAGCCAAAGCUGCCAGUUUGGAUCAAAAAAAAAAUAUGAAUCCGUUAGAAGGGACCAGUUAAAUCCUGGUUGAGAUCCAAUUUAAGACUCCUUGGCAAUCUUUCAAAUAUGUAUGUUUACAGACACUUUUCAUCCAACAUGAUGGCCGCGUUGCAGAGGAGACUGGGCAUUAAUGUCGGUCUCUAAAAGCCGGUGUACCCCCAGAAGACUUGCAGCUGUAAUUACAGUGAAAAGCGGUUCCACGUAGCAAUCAAAGCCCCACGAGCACAAACACUGUUCCUGAAAAACAUCCAUUUGUGAAGCAAUUCUGUAGGACACCAGUCACAUAAAGAAGAGAUUUAUAUCACUGAGCUCCGAUCAGUAACAGCAUUUAAUCUAGUUUCAAAUUGUAUUGAUAUUUGUUGAUGCUCUCAUUGAAGACAUUGAAAACAAUCCCGACAAAAACUGCAGCGAGUUAAAAAAAAAAAAAAAAAACAGAAUCGGAAUUUAUAGUGACAACGAUAAAUAAUAAUAAUAAAAAAUCUUAUCACGAUAAAAGACAGUUCCGUAGCUGCAUUCAGCGAUCGCCACGUAAAGAAUUCAGCAAGUUGUAGUCACUUAAGCUAAGUCCCUCGCAGUUAUUAUGCAUCACUUUUGCAUAUCUCCCAGCUAAUACAGCUGCGUGAUUGUAUUUGCCAUUAGCGGGCUGCGUCACCGUCCCCCUUAUUGGUUUGAAAUUCCAUUAAACAUAUUGCUCCAGCUCCCAGGUUUAAGCUUGAUUUAAAUUUGCAUACAUUUUCAUACAUUUAGAAGAAAUAAAAAGAAGGCUGCAGCAGCCACCAGAAAGUCAUUAGAAGAGCGGAGAGAGGCACAAGCUGCGCAGACGGAGAACCGAGGCUGAGACGGGGGGGGGGAGAGAGAAGAGGCCGGAGCAGGUGCUGCUGGCAGCAGAGGCUGGUGCUGUUACAGGGUCACAGAAAGGAGCCAUGUUGGUUUUAACAAAAAAAAGGGACAUAAAAGUUUACCAUCUGUUAAACUUCAAACUGUCCACACAAACACAGAGCAUCCUGCACAGAGAUCACUGAAGAGGAAAAAAUAAAAAAUAAAAAAUGUAGAGAAACAUGACGUGUGCUCUUCAGCAUCUCCACCCUCCUCCUCCUCUUUCUCUGCCGAGUUUGAGAAGAGCUGAGGCCUCCGAUGGCACCUCGAAGCCAAAUGAAGAAGAAAAAGAGGCCAAAGUUGUUGCAAAAACUUCCCACAUGAAAUUGGCUUUCCUCCUGUGGCUGCCUCCUGGAGAAAUCUCGCUCAAAAGUCAAAAAUGUGGUCGAUGUUUAAUGAAUGGCCCCCGCGAGUUUCGUGCAGGAUGUGAGCAAGUUCUCUGCCACUGCUAAACAACCAGCCGACAUACUUUCCCCCUGUGGAGCACACAAACCCACCCAUCCCCCCACCCCCCACCCCCACACACACACAUGAACCGACAGGUCCCUCUGAAGGAGCAGGCAGAGCUGGCAGUUGCACAUCUGCAUUUCAAACACAGACUCUCUGGGAUUCAUUAUUAAUUAGCCUGCUGAGCCCUGGAGGACUGGUGAUGCUGCCAUCUCUCUCUCUCUUACACACACACACACACACACACACGCACACACACACACACACACACACACACACACGCAGAAAAACACACACAAAAAAUGCUCACACACACACACACACACACACACACACACACCUCGUGACCCCUGUGCCCUCCUCUACACUUUAGAAAGUCCUCAGCUGAAUACCGAGCUGUGCAAGAGCGUUGUUUUUCCUCCCACCCUCCAAUCACGUCGCAUCUUCCUAAUGCCUGCUGCAGGUGCUACAACGUGUCUGCAUCCACCUUCAGGAAAUACACCGCUGCGUCCCUGCAUCCGCCCAGCAUCCACCCGUCUGCCAAUGGAGUUACAGGUGGGCAGUGUGUGAUCUCUCAGCACACUUCAUCACCUCUUCGCCUGCUUCCCUCCGGGCCCCGGUGCGGAUCCAGUCAGGUUUAGAAGCUCUGGCAGCAAUUUGAAUGUAAUUGCAUAAGUGAGCGAGACACCGCCAUCAUCACCGUCUGCCUCCGAACUCUUUCAUGUCGACUGGAAGCCGCUGCUCAGCCGUCACUUUCUAUCUCCAUUCAAGCUAACGCAGCUAACAGCAAAACACUCUCACACACCGCCGCCUCCUUGUGAGGACCAGCGCCUCUCGGACCGGCUGGAUCGGAUUCAGAGCGCUUCCUGGUUUUUGGAGCACUUCCUGGUUUUUGGGGACGGGACGGCGAGUGGUAGAUCCGCUUCCCCACCACACAGCCCGGCCUUUGUUGGAUGCAGAGGGAAGAAUCUGGGCCGAUCGCAAGAAAUCUGCACAAAUGUUGUUACAAGGUCUCGCUCCGAAAGGGAAUUCUCAUUCCCCUCUGCCUCCGCUUGGAACAUUCCCCAUCUUUCUUUCAAAGAGUUGUGCGUGUAUGAUUUUUGGUUUCGUACCAAUUCCACCUGGAGUCUCGGAGCAAAGAAUAACAAAUACGGGAAACAUUUCAUCCAGAAUAAUAUGUUUAUCCAGAGACCUGUGGACUUUGGGAGGAAUGGACCCCCUGUGAUGUGGUCUGCUGCCUGUGUGUGUGUGUGUGUGUGUGUGUGUGUGUGGGUUCCUGUGUGUUUGGGUUGGACGUGUGAGACGGGUGAAGAGACUCUCCACCCCCCAGGGCCAGGAACUCUAGGUACAGAGGAAGAGAGACCAACACACUCUCAGAUUUCCAGAGUGUGUGUGUGUGUGUGUGUGUGAACGCUGAUAUGUAUCUGUGAUACAGGAUGUGACAAAAAGUGGGCAAACAGGCAGGGCACUAAUGUGGUAAAAACUAGAAGUAUCUCAGUUAUGCUUCUUAAAACAUUUUGUCUUAAAAACCUCCAGGACUUUCAGAGAGCAGCUGAACUGAUGCUGAGAUGAAAUCACACAAAGCUGGACACAAAUAACUCAUGUUCACAUGGCAACCCCAUCGUAAGCAUUUAAAGUAGCAUUUUAUUUUAUCAUCCACAGUUUGUUGUUAGCCUGUCUGCUAAUAGCAUGACGACUUAUGAUGGACAAGAUGUCUCCCUCAAACUUGAUUUUUAUUCGAUUGUUGUGUCUCUGAUGUGAAAGAUAACAACCUGAACUGAAUUUAUAGCAGAUAUGUUCUGAAAACAACAAAUAAAAUGUCUGUUUCCAGUCCUGAU